GAUGAACGCUGGCGGCGUGCCUAAUACAUGCAAGUCGAGCGAACGGACGAGAAGCUUGCUUUUCUGAUGUUAGCGGCGGACGGGUGAGUAACACGUGGAUAACCUACCUAUAAGACUGGGAUAACUUCGGGAAACCGGAGCUAAUACCGGAUAAUAUUUUGAACCGCAUGGUUCAAAAGUGAAAGACGGUCUUGCUGUCACUUAUAGAUGGAUCCGCGCUGCAUUAGCUAGUUGGUAAGGUAACGGCUUACCAAGGCAACGAUGCAUAGCCGACCUGAGAGGGUGAUCAGCCACACUGGAACUGAGACACGGUCCAGACUCCUACGGGAGGCAGCAGUAGGGAAUCUUCCGCAAUGGGCGAAAGCCUGACGGAGCAACGCCGCGUGAGUGAUGAAGGUCUUCGGAUCGUAAAACUCUGUUAUUAGGGAAGAACAUAUGUGUAAGUAACUGUGCACAUCUUGACGGUACCUAAACAGAAAGCCACGGCUAACUACGUG
RNAcentral lists this ribosomal RNA (497 nucleotides) under uncultured bacterium. RNAcentral describes it as "partial 16S ribosomal RNA". It matches the Rfam family "Bacterial small subunit ribosomal RNA", at positions 28 to 507 of the family's 1533-position model. The record is from RNAcentral.